RNAcentral lists this ribosomal RNA (495 nucleotides) under uncultured bacterium. RNAcentral's name for it is "partial 16S ribosomal RNA". It matches the Rfam family "Bacterial small subunit ribosomal RNA", at positions 28 to 507 of the family's 1533-position model. The record is from RNAcentral.
GACGAACGCUGGCGGCGUGCCUAAUACAUGCAAGUAGAACGCUGAAGGAGGAGCUUGCUUCUCUGGAUGAGUUGCGAACGGGUGAGUAACGCGUAGGUAACCUGCCUGGUAGCGGGGGAUAACUAUUGGAAACGAUAGCUAAUACCGCAUAAGAGUAGAUGUUGCAUGACAUUUGCUUAAAAGGUGCAAUUGCAUCACUACCAGAUGGACCUGCGUUGUAUUAGCUAGUUGGUGGGGUAACGGCUCACCAAGGCGACGAUACAUAGCCGACCUGAGAGGGUGAUCGGCCAAACUGGGACUGAGACACGGCCCAGAAUCCUACGGGAGGCAGCAGUAGGGAAACUUCGGCAAUGGAGGGAAGUCUGACCGAGCAACGCCGCGUGAGUGAAGAAGGUUUUCGGAUCGUAAAGCUCUGUUGUAAGAGAAGAACGAGUGGGAGAGUGGAAAGUUCACACUGUGACGGUAGCUUACCAGAAAGGGACGGCUAACUACGUG